Molecule: ribosomal RNA, 574 nt
Filed under: uncultured bacterium
Lineage: Bacteria
Description: partial 16S ribosomal RNA
Rfam family: Bacterial small subunit ribosomal RNA
Source: RNAcentral
UGGGGAAUUUUGGACAAUGGGCGAAAGCCUGAUCCAGCAAUGCCGCGUGUGUGAAGAAGGCCUUCGGGUUGUAAAGCACUUUUGUCCGGAAAGAAAUCCUUGGCUCUAAUACAGUCGGGGGAUGACGGUACCGGAAGAAUAAGCACCGGCUAACUACGUGCCAGCAGCCGCGGUAAUACGUAGGGUGCAAGCGUUAAUCGGAAUUACUGGGCGUAAAGCGUGCGCAGGCGGUUUGCUAAGACCGAUGUGAAAUCCCCGGGCUCAACCUGGGAACUGCAUUGGUGACUGGCAGGCUAGAGUAUGGCAGAGGGGGGUAGAAUUCCACGUGUAGCAGUGAAAUGCGUAGAGAUGUGGAGGAAUACCGAUGGCGAAGGCAGCCCCCUGGGCCAAUACUGACGCUCAUGCACGAAAGCGUGGGGAGCAAACAGGAUUAGAUACCCUGGUAGUCCACGCCCUAAACGAUGUCAACUAGUUGUUGGGGAUUCAUUUCCUUAGUAACGUAGCUAACGCGUGAAGUUGACCGUCUGGGGAGUACGGUCGCAAGAUUAAAACUCAAAGGAAUUGACGGGGUCAU